Molecule: non-coding RNA, 68 nt
Organism: Podarcis lilfordi (Lilford's wall lizard)
Lineage: Eukaryota; Metazoa; Chordata; Lepidosauria; Squamata; Lacertidae
Source: the annotation of a GenBank genome assembly
GCCAGCUCAGUUGGGGAAGCAUGAGACUCUUAAUCCCAGGGCUGUGGGUUCAAGCUCCACGUUGGGCA